UACGAAGGGGGCUAGCGUUGUUCGGAAUUACUGGGCGUAAAGCGCGCGCAGGCGGUUUUCCAAGUCAGUGGUGAAAGCCCGGAGCUCAACUCCGGAAUUGCCAUUGAAACUGUAAAACUUGAGUACGAGAGAGGUGAGUGGAAUUCCCAGUGUAGAGGUGAAAUUCGUAGAUAUUGGGAAGAACACCGGUGGCGAAGGCGGCUCACUGGCUCGUAACUGACGCUCAGGCGCGAUAGCGUGGGGAUCAAACAGG
This 253-nucleotide ribosomal RNA is filed under the name uncultured bacterium. Its description in RNAcentral is "partial 16S ribosomal RNA". It matches the Rfam family "Bacterial small subunit ribosomal RNA", at positions 524 to 776 of the family's 1533-position model. The record is from RNAcentral.